CCUACGGGUGGCAGCAGUGAGGAAUAUUGGUCAAUGGACGAGAGUCUGAACCAGCCAAGUAGCGUGAAGGAUGACUGCCCUAUGGUUUGUAAACUUCUUUUAUAAAGGAAUAAAACGAGGCACGUGUGCCUUUUUGCAUGUACUUUAUGAAUAAGGAUCGGCUAACUCCGUGCCAGCAGCCGCGGUAAUACGGAGGAUCCGAGCGUUAUCCGGAUUUAUUGGGUUUAAAGGGAGCGUAGAUGGGUUGUUAAGUCAGUUGUGAAAGUUUGCGGCUCAACCGUAAAAUUGCAAUUGAUACUGGCAGUCGUGAGUACAGUUGAGGUAGGCGGAAUUCGUGGUGUAGCGGUGAAAUGCUUAGAUAUCACGAAGAACCCCGAUUGCGAAGGCAGCUUACUAAACUGUGACUGACAUUGAUGCUCGAAAGUGUGGGUAUCAAACAGGAUUAGAUACCCUAGUAGUC
Molecule: ribosomal RNA, 460 nt
Filed under: uncultured bacterium
Lineage: Bacteria
Description: partial 16S ribosomal RNA
Rfam family: Bacterial small subunit ribosomal RNA
Source: RNAcentral